Molecule: long non-coding RNA, 4172 nt
Filed under: Sus scrofa (pig)
Lineage: Eukaryota; Metazoa; Chordata; Mammalia; Artiodactyla; Suidae
Description: lncRNA (ENSSSCG00015009705.1)
Source: RNAcentral
GUUGAGUUGUAUAAGUUGCUUGUAUAUUCUAGACAUUAAGUCCUUGUCAGGUGCAUCAUUUGAAACUAUUUUCUCCCAUUCUGUAAGCUGUCUUUUUGUUUUCUUUUUGGUGAUAAAUACAUUAGCACCCAUUUAAAAAUAAAGGGGAAGAAAUGUUUAUAGCCAAUAAAUAGCACAGACUCCGGUAAUGCCACUCAGCAGUUAUGGCAAUCACCCAAUUUUUAAAACCUAAUCACACAUGAAUGCUGAUCCCUUGGCUACCAGUUUAUUAAAAUUUAUUCCAGAGGGCCAACUUUUUUUUUUUUCCCCCACAAAAGGAUGCUUUACUCAUUGUCAAAUGGUUCUUGGUUAUCGUUACCAGAUAGCUUUUGUAACAUUUCCAUUUUCUAAUACAGGCUGAUAAGACGUUUUGCAGAAAUAAAAAAAAGAAUGAAAAAAAAGUGUUGUUUCCAUUUGUUCUUACAGAAAGGUUAAGUGUUUUUGAUGUUUCUUUUUUUUCCUUAAAGAAAAAAAAAAGCAAACACUAAUUUCCACUUUGUUUCUUUAGGGAAAAGACCAUAGCAAUUAGUUUUCAAGGCAGUAAUUCUCAAGUGCACGUCCCUCCCGGCAGAAGCUUCACACGCAGCAGAACAUGUCUCGUGGGCAGCAGACCUUUCUACACUCUCUGCCAUUCUGCCUUUGCAUCUUUAUGCUUUCUUACUAAUUAAUUUUAUAAAACUGGAAAAACAAACAAAAAACUACAUAAAUCUAUACAAAGAUUUCCUCCAAAAACGUUUCACUGACUUUAAAUCCUUAGGAUCAGUGAUUCCCAAACUUUGGGAUUUCAUGGAGCAGUAGAUGAAAACCAAGGUGGGAGAUUCAACAUGGGGUCAGCAACUAUUUAUUUUUUCAAACAAAUAUAUAAAAAAUAGAAGCAAAGAAAACAAAAUAAAAUAACCCACCAACCCAGAAUCUGCUAGCAAAACUGUUCUAUGAAAUAAUGGCUCUUUUAACAUCAAAAAGAAUGGUUUCACAAAGGCCGUCUCCCAUGACUCAAGUGCAGACACCACAUACUCUCUCCUUCUCUCCUCUUUCAGGCAGACGGUAAAGAGUCACUGACUGGUACUUUGCAACCACUGCUCUGCAAUAGCUCACAGGUGCUGCUAAAACCCAGACUUGCAAAGUUUAACUGUUUCAAAAAUAGCCCUGCUGCUUAUAUAAUGAAGAAUUCUUGUUAAUAUUAGCUGAAUAUUGUGGCUAUGUCUUUGCCUUUCUUUGUCUUAUUAAAUCAGUGAAAAUCUCCAGACAUGCAUGUUUUACAUAAAAUUCAAGAAACACCCUUAUGCCUCAUUCUAUUUAGAAUUCCCAUUUUUACUCAAAUUUGUCCCAGGAAAACAAAUUUAUUGAAAAGCAAGUUCCGACAGGGUAGACGUGAAGCCCUUCUCCCUGGACGGGCUUUUUCUACAUCUACCAGGUGUGGGUCAUCUUCAACCCCAGCCCCCAUGUUGUAAAAUCGGCAGAGCUCAGACUGAAGACUUUAUUACUCGUUUCCUCCCUUGUACAAGUAUUUGAUGGUCCCAAGAGCAUGGGCUUUAGAGCCAGACAGCCAUUACGAAUGCCAGUUCUGCCAUUCCUUACGUCUGUCACACUGGACAGGUGACAGAGCUCUCCGAGUAUCACGUUCCUCUCCAGAAAUGGGAAUGAUAACACUUGCUGUACGGGGUUGUGGUGACAAUUAGAUGAGAGGAUCCAGGAGGUGGUGAAACAGGUCCUGACACAUAGUAAGUACUCAACAGUGUUGGUGGUUAUGACCAGCCCCUGCCAUGUUCCUAGGCAUUGGGAAUCUGCUGUUGAACAAUAAAAUAUCCUUCCCUGAUGAUAUUUACAAUUUAAUGAGAAAGACAAGUAUUAAGUAACCAUGCAAAUUGAAAAAUGUAUCCUGAAACACAAUACUAAAAGGAGGGCAGGUGCCAUCGAAGCCUGUGGUGACUGCAUUUGCCAGUGGGGAUGUCCCCACGACAGACCUUCCCUGAAUUCCGAAGGAUGAGUAGAACUUAACAAUUAGGCACAGGAGAAACAGAGCAGAGCUCCAGGGAGAAGGAAGUGGCCCUCUUUCCUUCAUUUUUCCCCUAUAUUGUACAUGUCAACUAGUGUCUUCAAGAACUGCCUAAUAGUUAGAAUUUACUGCAAUGCACAAAAAAUUCCACUAAUCCCUCUAAAACAAUCAGCAAUGACAUUACACCCUAAACACCAUCCAUUAUCCCUCCUUCAAUGCCAUAUAAGAGCUGAAACAGCAUACUCUUAGCUUGUACCACAGAAAAAUACUUAUUUUCUAAAGUGCACCAAAUAAAACAUUAGAAAGACAUUCAGGACAGAACACUAAAACUCUAUUUUUUUAACUGCCUGCAUUAAGAAAAGAUAGCAAAUAUAUCCCAUAAAAAACUAUUUGGACGAGAUCUGCUUUUAAUCUAUGGCUGAUGAAUCAAUUUUGUUUCGAGUCCAUAUUUUACAGCAAAAUCAUAUUUUGUCCUAUAGCAUGAUGGAACUUGAGAAAUAAAUAUUUUUUGAGACCUAAAUUUCAAAGGACUCAUAAGUAUGUCUGAGGUAGAAAUCCCAGAAUUACUUUCCCAAGCCCUGUGGCUUCCAGUCUGUAGGAAAACAAUUUCCAAUUUGCUUUCUACUUUUCUCCCCUUGUGGCACCUCAGAUCUCAUAGCUAUUGUGCAGCAAGUUAGCCCACACCUGCUCCAAACACCUGACGCUGGUGCUGUCUCCACCUCCUUAUAGGUAACUUCCUUUUCGCCUUCAGUAGCUCUUCUCUACAGUCUAGGGCCUCAACCCUUCCUCAUCACCGGCCUCCAAUUCCUUGGAGCAAGUUUUAAUAAGUGUGUUAAAACUUAAAGUCUCAUUUCUUUUCAAAGUGAUAGAAUACUGGUGUGAAAAGAGAGGCAUAUAAUGCUGUACACCUCCCCAAACAAUUCGUUAUCAUUCCUUUAAAAAUGGAGAUGAAUGCUUCUGCUACCAUGACAGCACCCUCUCGCCCUGCUCUGGGCAGUGCUGGGGCCUAACCUGUCCCCACAGGCAACGUGAUGGUUUUCGUAAAGGAAAGAGGAAGACAGCAAAGUAUAAAUACUGCGUAGUAUCAACGAAUAUGUGGAAUGUAUGUAUUUUAAAGGCGAUUCCAUAGAGACUGAGAAUAGCAUGGUGGUUGUCAGUGGCUGGGGGGAGGGAGCUGGGGAGACGUAGGUCAAAGGGUUUAGUUAUAGAAGAUGCUCUGAGGACCUUCUCGGUCACUACAGCCAAUGAUACAGCACCGUCUACUUGAAAGUGGCUGAGGGGAGGUCUCCAGCAUUCUUGGCACACACACCUACACACACAUACACACAGAGAGUUCACUAUGCGACGUGGUGGUUGUGUUAGUUGCCUUGAUCUUGGUAAUCAUCCCGCCAUGUAUGUGUACAUAAACCAUUGCGUGGUGCCCUUACACCACACACAACUGUAUACACUGCACUGUACACAAUUACAGUUACAUAUAAUUACAUGUAAUUACACAGUUAUGCACAUAAACAAUUACCUUUGUCAAUCAUUCCUCCAAAGAUGGAGAAACUGAAAAACAAAAACUGAAGGAGGAAGACAACAGAAAACCGUCAUGCGGGGUCUCUACCCUUUUCUACAUGGGGGGGAAUUCUUCAUGACGAACAAAAAAACCCACGUGCGUUUUCAGAGUCUAACUUUUUGCUACAUAUGAAGAAAACAUUGGUUUUCUUUCAAACUACCAGGGAAAGAAAGGAAAACAACCAAAUGCUACCUUCUUGAUGGAAACACAUUUUACUAAAUGUUACAGCUUUAAAUUUUUUAGGUCUGUAAGAUCAUGAAUACCAUCAUCCAUACUUUUCCUCAUCAGUGCAAUAAAAAAAAUAUUUACUAAUGACGUCAGAUAACCAAGACGGCAACAACUAAUUCCAGAACCCAAGAUUUUGCUAGCUCAGAUUUUUCUGUAAUUCCUAUAAAUCUCCAGAGAUAGUCUACCUUUUUAUCUUUAACAAAACAAAGUGAACUUGACCAUUAUCUAAUGUCUCUGAUAAGAUUCUAUAAUGACAGAUGAAGCCAAAAAUAAAGAUAGUCUAUAUUUUCUAGGAAAAAAGGCAGCCAUAAUUCUACUUUGUGAAUGGACAACUUAUUUGCUUUCAUCCUU